RNAcentral lists this ribosomal RNA (468 nucleotides) under uncultured Oscillospiraceae bacterium. RNAcentral describes it as "bacterial SSU rRNA". It matches the Rfam family "Bacterial small subunit ribosomal RNA", at positions 912 to 1382 of the family's 1533-position model. The record is from RNAcentral. Lineage: Bacteria; Bacillati; Bacillota; Clostridia; Eubacteriales; Oscillospiraceae.
GACGGGGGCCCGCACAAGCGGUGGAGUAUGUGGUUUAAUUCGAAGCAACGCGAAGAACCUUACCAGGGCUUGACAUCCUACUAACGAAGUAGAGAUACAUUAGGUGCCCUUCGGGGAAAGUAGAGACAGGUGGUGCAUGGUUGUCGUCAGCUCGUGUCGUGAGAUGUUGGGUUAAGUCCCGCAACGAGCGCAACCCUUAUUGUUAGUUGCUACGCAAGAGCACUCUAGCGAGACUGCCGUUGACAAAACGGAGGAAGGUGGGGAACGACGUCAAAUCAUCAUGCCCCUUAUGUCCUGGGCCACACACGUACUACAAUGGCGGCUAACAAAGGGAGGCAAUACCGCGAGGUGGAGCAAAUCCCCAAAAGCCGUCCCAGUCCGGAUUGCAGGCUGAAACUCGCCUGUAUGAAGUUGGAAUCGCUAGUAAUCGCGGAUCAGCAUGCCGCGGUGAAUACGUUCCCGGGCCUU